This is a long non-coding RNA of Homo sapiens (human), 427 nucleotides long. Ensembl annotates it as long intergenic non-protein coding RNA 2140. The record is from Ensembl. Lineage: Eukaryota; Metazoa; Chordata; Mammalia; Primates; Hominidae.
GUGUAAUCAACUUGCCAUACAUGCAUUACCUCCUAAUGAGCGCCGUGUUUAAACAAGUGUAUAGAACACAUCUGUCCGGGCCUUGGGACUCGAGGCUGUGUGACCAAUUUCAGCAUCUGAAAGUUAAAUUAAUGGCCACCAUUUAGUGCCAAUAAACAGAAGGCCUGGUUUCUUCAAAAGAAACACAAGAAAUUGUUUCCUGGUUUUGCCACAGAGAUUGGGUCACAGAGUGCCACCUAAAUGGUAUUACCAUAUUUGUGUUGUCGCCUCUUGGUUUGAAAUUUAUUCCUGGUAUGACUUGUGUCUCCCCUUGUUCCAUCUCUGACACCCAAGCCCAUGGGAUGACAACCCAGGCUGAGAUGUCCCAUGUGUCACAAAGGAGUCCUUCAGUAUUUCCAGGAAUAGUUGGAACCAGCACUCCAUCCCC